This 760-nucleotide ribosomal RNA is filed under the name Neisseria subflava. Its description in RNAcentral is "bacterial SSU rRNA". It matches the Rfam family "Bacterial small subunit ribosomal RNA", at positions 28 to 776 of the family's 1533-position model. The record is from RNAcentral. Lineage: Bacteria; Pseudomonadati; Pseudomonadota; Betaproteobacteria; Neisseriales; Neisseriaceae.
AUUGAACGAGGCGGCAUUGCUUCACACAUCCAAGUCGGCAGGCAGCAACAGAGAAGCUUGCCCCAUGGGUGGCCAGUGGCGAACGGGUGAGUAAUAUAUCGGAACGUACCGAGUAAUGGGGGAUAACUAAUCGAAAGAUUAGCUAAUACCGCAUAUUCUCUGAGGAGGAAAGCAGGGGACCUAAGGGCCUUGCGUUAUUCGAGCGGCCGCUAUCUGAUUAGCUAGUUGGUGGGGUAAAGGCCUACCAAGGCGACGAUCAGUAGCGGGUCUGAGAGGAUGAUCCGCCACACUGGGACUGAGACACGGCCCAGACUCCUACGGGAGGCAGCAGUGGGGAAUUUUGGACAAUGGGCGCAAGCCUGAUCCAGCCAUGCCGCGUGUCUGAAGAAGGCCUUCGGGUUGUAAAGGACUUUUGUCAGGGAAGAAAAGGCUGUUGCUAAUACCGACAGCUGAUGACGGUACCUGAAGAAUAAGCACCGGCUAACUACGUGCCAGCAGCCGCGGUAAUACGUAGGGUGCGAGCGUUAAUCGGAAUUACUGGGCGUAAAGCGAGCGCAGACGGUUACUUAAGCAGGAUGUGAAAUCCCCGGGCUCAACCUGGGAACUGCGUUCUGAACUGGGUGACUAGAGUGUGUCAGAGGGAGGUAGAAUUCCACGUGUAGCAGUGAAAUGCGUAGAGAUGUGGAGGAAUACCGAUGGCGAAGGCAGCCUCCUGGGAUAACACUGACGUUCAUGCUCGAAAGCGUGGGUAGCAAACAGG